AAAUGCAAUAUACGAUAGAGAAAUGAUAUAAGAUGAUAAUUAUAU
Molecule: non-coding RNA, 45 nt
Filed under: Trypanosoma brucei brucei
Lineage: Eukaryota; Euglenozoa; Kinetoplastea; Trypanosomatida; Trypanosomatidae
Source: RNAcentral